RNAcentral lists this ribosomal RNA (148 nucleotides) under Salmonella enterica. Its description in RNAcentral is "partial 23S ribosomal RNA". It matches the Rfam family "Bacterial large subunit ribosomal RNA", at positions 1 to 138 of the family's 2925-position model. RNAcentral also lists the same sequence under 7 other names. Lineage: Bacteria; Pseudomonadati; Pseudomonadota; Gammaproteobacteria; Enterobacterales; Enterobacteriaceae. The record is from RNAcentral.
GGGUUGUGAGGUUAAGCGACUAAGCGUACACGGUGGAUGCCCUGGCAGUCAGAGGCGAUGAAGGGCGUGCUAAUCUGCGAUAAGCGCCGGUAAGGUGAUAUGAACCGUUAUAACCGGCGAUACCCGAAUGGGGAAACCCAGUGUGAUU